Molecule: ribosomal RNA, 253 nt
Filed under: uncultured bacterium
Lineage: Bacteria
Description: partial 16S ribosomal RNA
Rfam family: Bacterial small subunit ribosomal RNA
Source: RNAcentral
UACGUAGGGGGCAAGCGUUGUCCGGAUUUAUUGGGCGUAAAGAGCGUGUAGGCGGCCAGAUAGGUCCGUUGUGAAAACUGGAGGCUUAACCUCCAGCUGUCGAUGGAAACCAUCUGGCUAGAGUCCGGAAGAGGAGAGUGGAAUUCCUGGUGUAGCGGUGAAAUGCGCAGAUAUCAGGAGGGACACCAAUGGCGAAGGCAGCUCGCUGGGACGUGACUGACGCUGAGACGCGAAAGCGUGGGGAGCAAACAGG